RNAcentral lists this ribosomal RNA (1140 nucleotides) under Sclerobunus robustus robustus. Its description in RNAcentral is "eukaryotic LSU rRNA". It matches the Rfam family "Eukaryotic large subunit ribosomal RNA", at positions 71 to 944 of the family's 3401-position model. The record is from RNAcentral. Lineage: Eukaryota; Metazoa; Arthropoda; Arachnida; Opiliones; Paranonychidae.
GAGAUUCCCCUAGUAACGGCGAGCGAACGGGGAAGAGUCCAUCUCCUAAUCCGACGCCUCCCUGGGCGUUCCGGAAAUUUGGAGUAUAGGAGAGACGCUUCCAGGCACCGGCUCCGGUGCAAGUCCCCCUGACUGGGGCUCCCACCCCGAGAGGGUGCAAGGCCCGUAGCGGCCGGCAGUCGGUCCUGGAUGUUCUCUCCUGAGAGUCGGGUUGCUUGAGAGUGCAGCCCUAAGCAGGUGGUAAACUCCAUCUAAGACUAAAUACGACCUCGAGACCGAUAGCGAACAAGUACCGUGAGGGAAAGUUGAAAAGGACUUUGAAGAGAGAGUUCAAGAGUACGUGAAACCGUUCGGAGGUAAACGAGUGGGCCCUCGAAGGAAGGCGACGGGGGGACUCAGCCGGAGGCGCCCGGGUGGCUGUCGCGACUCGCUUCCCCAACAGGACGAGUUGUGGCGGCAAGAAAGUCCCGGGGCAGACGGCGCAUUUCCCCUCGUCCUCUGACGCUGCGACCGGUCGGGUGCGCUAUUAGCAGUCGGCCUGACUCGCGGGAACCGGCAGGUAGCCGGGGCGAGGCUUCGGCCCCGCCCCGGUGUUUAGCCGUCCCGCUUUCGCGGCCGUUCACCCGACCGCAGGACACGGCCCUCCGGGGCUCUGCCGCAUCUUCCCUGGGUGGGAGCGCCUCUUUCCGUCGGCAGGGAGGUCGCCGUCAUCGUCGGUUCACCGCAAGGUGUCCGACGGGCGGCGGCGCCCGGUGGUCGGCGGAUUAGCGUGCGGAUGCAGGCGGUCUGCAGCGAGUAGGUCGGUCACCCACUCGACCCGUCUUGAAACACGGACCAAGGAGUUUAACAUGUACGCAAGUCAUUGGGUCUUGCACAGGCCCAAAGGCGCAAUGAAAGUGAAGGUCGGCUUUCGCCGUCCGCGUUGGGAUCCGCGGCUCCGGCCGCGGCGCACCAACGGCUCGUCCAGGCCGCCACGUCGGCCGGGCGAAGCGAGAGCGUACACGUUGAGACCCGAAAGAUGGUGAACUAUGGCUGGGCAGGACGAAGCCAGAGGAAACUCUGGUGGAGGUCCGCAGCGGUUCUGACGUGCAAAUCGAUCGUCAGACCUGGCUAUAGGGGCGAAAAACUAAUCGAACCAUC